AGGUGGUGGUUUUCUCUCUUGAGCUAAAGGCAGAUAGAAGCCUAAAGCCAGAACCAGAGGAUUCUGAGUUAGGAGGGUGGAACUAAAAUGUGACCUGGCCGGAGGGCCAAGGCAUGAGAAGAGAGGACACCACAAGACCAGAGCUACUAUUGGCAGUGGGUGCUAGAGAAGAAAGAGCCGCUAUUCUGCGCCCAGCGAUGAGGGGGCAUGCCUGAGACUCUUUCCCCGUGGGGACAUUACCGAAGUGAGCGCUUGUGUUACCCCAGUGCUCCAGAAUUGUUCAUCGUGGAUCAAAAUGUAAUACAGAGGUCAGCUGUUAACUUUGUAGAGACUCGGGGCAAGGAAAGAACCGAUCUCUCAGGAGUUCAGAAUGUGAGGUGCAGGUCAGAGAAGAAAGUCCAAGGAAACAGCCAGACUGCAGCAAAAACUACGACUGGGUCCCAAACAAAGAAUGCUAAAGGCAAAGUUUGGGGAAAUUCAGUUCUGUACUUCACAGCUGGCCCUUUCUCUGUAAUGGGCUAAAUCAGAACCCUGCUUCCAAACCUUCCAAAUGUUCAGGGACCUGAACUCUGCCGCAUGGAUCCAUCUCUAAUCUGAAGUCUCUGAAACUUUGGAGUCAUAAAAACUGGUCUAGGAAUCUCACGGGCACAGGCUUUGCCAUUGUCUUUUGGGGGCUUCUUGUUCUAAUUCAGCGGAAAAUAUGCUGACAACAGCCUCUCUUCAGACCAUUUUGGGUCUUUUGUGUUGUGGCUGGAACCCAGUAGAUUAUGGAGAUUGGCUGACCAGAUUAGCCCCAUAUCCAGUCUCUGACAGUGACCAGCACCAGAUGCUUCACAGGAAGGUGUAAACAACCCCACAACCAGCAGAUGUGGGAUAUUUUGCCCCCCACAUUAGGUUUCCUCCUGAUCUCUGAUAGCUAGAGAUCACCUGAAGCCCUGCCACAGGAGAUUUAAUAUUCCUUCCAACAUUUUUAUUGUCAUUCAUAACAACUCUGGAUAUUUUUGAUGCCCAUAUAAAUGUUAAGUCCCUUUCUGAUCUGGCUAAUGUCUUAGCAUCAACAACUUCAUAGGGCAGUGCGUUCCACAGCCACCUGCAUAUUGGGUGAAAAAAUAUUUUCUUGUAUCACUUUUGAAUUUGCCUCCUUUUCAUUUCAUUGCAUGCCCCCUUGUCUUUGCGUUACAAGAUUGUGUUAUGGACAAUAAUCAAAGUGGAUUAAACAAAGGCUAAAUACAGAUUUUUCAGUCAGGAAGUUGCUUCACUGGGAGAGGACACCUGGAAGGUUUACCAAAGGCAGUGUCAGGCCAACCAAAACCCUGAAUCGAACACAUCAGGGUGUUUGCAGCGUGCGUUUGAUUUGUGCUUUGUGUGCCCCUCACUUAUGGAAACCAAUGUGCCUAUCCCUAAAGAGAAGGUGGGUCUGCCCCCUCCCCCCUCCAGUCCUGCACCACCCCAGCCAUCCAAAUUAUAAACAUGCUAAUUAAUUUAUUGGACAGAAAGGGGGGAAAAGUGGUGGGGGGGAAUGAAUCAAUUGACAAAUUGAAAUGUCAUUUCCCAGUCUGCAGCUGGAUCCUGCCUUGUCUCCUCUCUCUCUCUCUCUCUCUUUUUCUCUUUUGUAUUUUGAUUUGGUUAUAA
This is a long non-coding RNA of Chelonia mydas (Green sea turtle), 1632 nucleotides long. RefSeq lists it as uncharacterized. The record is from RefSeq and is a predicted model, not a curated record. The transcript is spliced from 3 exons. NCBI's taxonomy places the organism in Eukaryota, Metazoa, Chordata, Testudines, Cheloniidae.